Molecule: non-coding RNA, 45 nt
Organism: Echinostoma caproni
Lineage: Eukaryota; Metazoa; Platyhelminthes; Trematoda; Plagiorchiida; Echinostomatidae
Source: Rfam
GCACUGCUGAUGAGACCCACCCAGGUCAAAACAGCUGUCUAGUGC